AGCAUUUUUGUAUGUUUUUGUUUAACUUGUGGACAAAGACAAAUAGCUGCAAAAAAUAAUUCUCUUUUAUAACCCAGAACUCAUUGUUCAAUUUAAGUUUUGAUACAUAUCAGCACAGAUACU
Marmota marmota marmota (Alpine marmot) is the source of this 123-nucleotide small nucleolar RNA. The record is from Ensembl. Lineage: Eukaryota; Metazoa; Chordata; Mammalia; Rodentia; Sciuridae.